CCAGACUCCUACGGGAGGCAGCAGUGGGGAAUAUUGCACAAUGGGCGGAAGCCUGAUGCAGCAACGCCGCGUGCGGGAUGACGGCCUUCGGGUUGUAAACCGCUUUCAGCAGGGGCGAAGCUUUUGUGACGGUACCUGCAGAAGAAGCACCGGCUAACUACGUGCCAGCAGCCGCGGUGAUACGUAGGGUGCGAGCGUUGUCCGGAUUUAUUGGGCGUAAAGAGCUCGUAGGUGGUUGAUUGCGUCGGAAGUGAAAACUUGGGGCUUAACCCUGAGCGUGCUUUCGAUACGGGUUGACUUGAGGAAGGUAGGGGAGAAUGGAAUUCCUGGUGGAGCGGUGGAAUGCGCAGAUAUCAGGAGGAACACCAGUGGCGAAGGCGGUUCUCUGGACCUUUCCUGACGCUGAGGAGCGAAAGCGUGGGGAGCGAACAGGCUUAGAUACCCUGGUAGUCCACGCUGUAAACGGUGGGUACUAGGUGUGGGGUCCAUUCCACGGAUUCCGUGCCGUAGCUAACGCUUUAAGUACCCCGCCUGGGGAGUACGGCCGCAAGGCUAAAACUCAAAGGAAUUGACGGGGGCCCGCACAAG
Molecule: ribosomal RNA, 588 nt
Filed under: uncultured bacterium
Lineage: Bacteria
Description: bacterial SSU rRNA
Rfam family: Bacterial small subunit ribosomal RNA
Source: RNAcentral